ACAACAUUCGGACCGUCGGUCUACAGAACAACAUCGCCCGCUCGGUGGAAGAUCUUCCUUUUGUCGU
This 67-nucleotide microRNA precursor is filed under the name Bombyx mori (domestic silkworm). RNAcentral's name for it is "mir-2774 microRNA precursor family". It matches the Rfam family "mir-2774 microRNA precursor family". The record is from Rfam by way of RNAcentral. Lineage: Eukaryota; Metazoa; Arthropoda; Insecta; Lepidoptera; Bombycidae.